CGUCUCUAAGCCAUGGUAGAGACGCAGCGUACGGCUCAGUAACAUGUGGCUAACCUACCCUUAGGACGGAGACACCCCGGGAAACUGGGGCUAAUACCCGGUAGAUUAGGAGGCCUGGAAUGGUUUCUAGUCGAAAAGGCGUUGAAACCAUGCUUUUCGACGUCGCCUAAGGAUGGGGCCGCACCUGAUCAGGUUGUUGGUGGGGUAACGGCUCACCAAGCCUAUAACCGGUACGGGCCGUGAGAGCGGGAGCCCGGAGAUGGGCACUGAGACAAGGGCCCGGGCCCUACGGGGCGCAGCAGUCGCGAAAACUCCGCAAUGCGCGAAAGCGUGACGGGGCUACCCCGAGUGCCGUCCGCUGAGGAUGGCUUUUCCCCGGUGUAAUGAGCCGGGGGAAUAAGGAGAGGGCAAGACUGGUGUCAGCCGCCGCGGUAAUACCAGCUCUCCGAGUGGUAGGGAUGAUUAUUGGGC
RNAcentral lists this ribosomal RNA (471 nucleotides) under uncultured archaeon. RNAcentral's name for it is "bacterial SSU rRNA". It matches the Rfam family "Archaeal small subunit ribosomal RNA", at positions 63 to 509 of the family's 1478-position model. The record is from RNAcentral.